Nannospalax galili (Upper Galilee mountains blind mole rat) is the source of this 69-nucleotide small nucleolar RNA. RefSeq annotates it as small nucleolar RNA SNORD82. The transcript has a single exon. NCBI's taxonomy places the organism in Eukaryota, Metazoa, Chordata, Mammalia, Rodentia, Spalacidae. The record is from RefSeq and is a predicted model, not a curated record.
GACACAAGUGAUGAAUGUCAAGGGACUUAAUACUGAAACCUCAUGUUGCUGUGCGAUAUGCUGAUGUGC